RNAcentral lists this ribosomal RNA (437 nucleotides) under uncultured bacterium. RNAcentral's name for it is "partial 16S ribosomal RNA". It matches the Rfam family "Bacterial small subunit ribosomal RNA", at positions 29 to 507 of the family's 1533-position model. The record is from RNAcentral.
AGCGAACGCUGGCGGCAGGCUUAACACAUGCAAGUCGAGCGGGCAUCCUUGUGGUGUCAGCGGCAGACGGGUGAGUAACGCGUGGGAACGUGCCCUUCGGUUCGGAAUAACUCAGGGAAACUUGAGCUAAUACCGGAUACGUGCGAGAGCAGAAAGGUUUAUCUGCCGAAGGAUCGGCCCGCGUCUGAUUAGCUAGUUGGUGAGGUUAUGGCUCACCAAGGCGACGAUCAGUAGCCGGUCUGAGAGGAUGAUCAGCCACACUGGGACUGAGACACGGCCCAGACUCCUACGGGAGGCAGCAGUGGGGAAUAUUGGACAAUGGGGGCAACCCUGAUCCAGCCAUGCCGCGUGAGUGAUGACGGCCUUAGGGUUGUAAAGCUCUUUUCUCCGGGACGAUAAUGACGGUACCGGAGGAAUAAGCCCCGGCUAACUUCGUG